RNAcentral lists this ribosomal RNA (253 nucleotides) under uncultured bacterium. Its description in RNAcentral is "partial 16S ribosomal RNA". It matches the Rfam family "Bacterial small subunit ribosomal RNA", at positions 524 to 776 of the family's 1533-position model. The record is from RNAcentral.
UACGGAGGAUGCAAGCGUUAUCCGGAAUGAUUGGGCGUAAAGCGUCCGCAGGUGGCGAUGUAAGUCUGCUGUUAAAGAGUCUAGCUCAACUAGAUAAGAGCAGUGGAAACUACAUAGCUAGAGUACGUUCGGGGCAGAGGGAAUUCCUGGUGUAGCGGUGAAAUGCGUAGAGAUCAGGAAGAACACCGGUGGCGAAGGCGCUCUGCUAGGCCGCAACUGACACUGAGGGACGAAAGCUAGGGGAGCGAAUGGG